This 478-nucleotide ribosomal RNA is filed under the name uncultured bacterium. RNAcentral's name for it is "partial 16S ribosomal RNA". It matches the Rfam family "Bacterial small subunit ribosomal RNA", at positions 28 to 507 of the family's 1533-position model. The record is from RNAcentral.
GAUGAACGCUGGCGGCGUGCUUAACACAUGCAAGUCGAACGGGAAACCUUUUAUUGAAGCUUCGGCAGAUUUAGCUGGUUUCUAGUGGCGGACGGGUGAGUAACGCGUGGGUAACCUGCCCUAUACAGGGGGAUAACAACCAGAAAUGGUUGCUAAUACCGCAUAAGCGCACAGGGCCGCAUGGUCCGGUGUGAAAAACUCCGGUGGUAUAGGAUGGACCCGCGUUGGAUUAGCCAGUUGGCAGGGUAACGGCCUACCAAAGCGACGAUCCAUAGCCGGCCUGAGAGGGUGAACGGCCACAUUGGGACUGAGACACGGCCCAGACUCCUACGGGAGGCAGCAGUGGGGAAUAUUGCACAAUGGGGGAAACCCUGAUGCAGCGACGCCGCGUGAAGGAAGAAGUAUCUCGGGAUGUAAACUUCUAUCAGCAGGGAAGAUAGUGACGGUACCUGACUAAGAAGCCCCGGCUAACUACGUG